AAAAAACAGGUAACAGCUUUUGAUCGUGCAAUUAAGAAGGUUAGGAAUAAAUCAAAGUUGAGGUUGAUGGAUGUCACUGAACCCUUUGGUUAUCGCCAUGAUGGGCAUCCAGGUCCGUAUCGGAGUCCUGACCCAAAUAAAAUCACGAAACGUGGACCAGAUGGAAGGCCCCCUCCACAGGAUUGCUUGCACUGGUGCAUGCCUGGUCCUGUUGAUACAUGGAAUGAAUUUGUGCUUGAAAUUAUAAGAAGAGAAUUUGAGGGCAAUCGAAGCUCUUCGUCGUGAGAUUGUUGCUUUUCUGUUGCCAAACAGCUUGUGCUUCAUACUGGAAAGAUAAUUUGUUCAGUGAGAUUCAAUUUAUUGUAGGAUCAGGGUUAGCCUAGUCUUAGGGAAAUAUGGAUGCAAUGUAUCUGGGAUUGAUCAGGAUAUGGUGUAUAAGGCCUCCAUGUUUGUUCAUCCGUCCGGAUGAGAGUAAUAUUUACUUGUAGAGAAAAUUGAGAGCUAUUUGUUGAAGAGGAUUGCUACAUGAAAAUUAAUAAAUUACAAGAUUACUUUUGAGGAAAACUCAAAAGUAAUCUUGUAA
This 583-nucleotide unclassified non-coding RNA is filed under the name Hevea brasiliensis (rubber tree). The record is from RNAcentral. Lineage: Eukaryota; Viridiplantae; Streptophyta; Magnoliopsida; Malpighiales; Euphorbiaceae.